UCCCCGUUACCGGGGCAGUCUAAAUAGAAAAAUACAACUAUUUACAAGGGUUGCGCUCGUUGAUGGACUUAACCAAACAUCUCACGACACGAGCUGACGACGGCCAUGCAACACCUGUCACAGGGUUCCAAAAGGCACACUCUACUUUCGUAGUGCUUCCCUGGAUGUCAAGCCCUGGUGAGGUUCUUCGUUUAUCAUCGAAUUAAAGAACACGAUCCACCGCUUGUGCGGGUCCCCGUCAAUUCCUUUAUGUUUUAGUCUUGCGACCGUACUCCACAGGCGGGAUACUAAACGCGUUAGCUUCGCUACUGAACGGGUCGAUACGUCCAACAGCUAGCAUCCAUCGUUUACGGCGUGGACUAC
This 363-nucleotide unclassified non-coding RNA is filed under the name uncultured bacterium. RNAcentral's name for it is "contains 16S-23S intergenic spacer region". The record is from RNAcentral.